GGAUUGAACGCUGGCGGCAGGCCUAACACAUGCAAGUCGAGCGGCAGCACGGGUACUUGUACCUGGUGGCGAGCGGCGGACGGGUGAGUAAUGCCUAGGAAUCUGCCUGAUAGUGGGGGAUAACGUUCGGAAACGGACGCUAAUACCGCAUACGUCCUACGGGAGAAAGUGGGGGAUCUUCGGACCUCACGCUAUCAGAUGAGCCUAGGUCGGAUUAGCUAGUUGGUAGGGUAAAGGCCUACCAAGGCUACGAUCCGUAACUGGUCUGAGAGGAUGAUCAGUCACACUGGAACUGAGACACGGUCCAGACUCCUACGGGAGGCAGCAGUGGGGAAUAUUGGACAAUGGGCGAAAGCCUGAUCCAGCCAUGCCGCGUGUGCGAAGAAGGUCUUCGGAUUGUAAAGCACUUUAAGUUGGAGGAAGGCAUUAACCUAAUACGUUAGUAGUUUGUAGUUACGUACAGAAUAAGACACGACUAACUACUACGUGCCUACGACGACGCCGCGGUAACGUUAACG
RNAcentral lists this ribosomal RNA (518 nucleotides) under uncultured soil bacterium. RNAcentral describes it as "bacterial SSU rRNA". It matches the Rfam family "Bacterial small subunit ribosomal RNA", at positions 27 to 527 of the family's 1533-position model. The record is from RNAcentral.